GAUGAACGCUGGCGGCGUGCCUAACACAUGCAAGUCGAGCGAACAGAUAAGGAGCUUGUUCCUUUGACGUUAGCGGCGGACGGGUGAGUAACACGUGGGUCACCUACCUAUAAGACUGGAAUAACUCCGGGAAACCGGGGCUAAUGCCGGAUAACAUGUUGAACCGCAUGGUUCUACAGUGAAAGGCGGCUUUGCUGUCACUUAUAGAUGGACCCGCGCCGUAUUAGCUAGUUGGUGAGGUAACGGCUCACCAAGGCAACGAUACGUAGCCGACCUGAGAGGGUGAUCGGCCACACUGGAACUGAGACACGGUCCAGACUCCUACGGGAGGCAGCAGUAGGGAAUAUUCCGCAAUGGGCGAAAGCCUGACGGAGCAACGCCGCGUGAGUGAUGAAGGUCUUCGGAUCGUAAAGCCCUGUUAUUAGGUAAGAACAACUGCGUGAGUAAAUGUGGGCGUCUUGACGGUACCUAAACAGAAAGCCACGGCUAACUACGUG
This 497-nucleotide ribosomal RNA is filed under the name uncultured bacterium. RNAcentral's name for it is "partial 16S ribosomal RNA". It matches the Rfam family "Bacterial small subunit ribosomal RNA", at positions 28 to 507 of the family's 1533-position model. The record is from RNAcentral.